UGCAGUCGAACGAGUUUCCGGGCUUGCUCCGGAAAUUGGUGGCGAACGGCUGAGUAACGCGUAGGUGACCUACCCCGUAGUGAGGAAUAACUUGCCCGAAAGGGUAGCUAAUACCUCAUGUUGAGACGCUUUCAUUAGCGUCUCCAAAGCAGCAAUGCGCUAUGGGCGGGGCCUGCGUUCGAUUAGCUAGUUGGUGAGGUAAUGGCUCACCAAGGCGACGAUCGAUAGGUGGUCUGAGAGGACGAUCACCCAGACUGGGACUGAGACACGGCCCAGACUCCUACGGGAGGCAGCAGUCGGGAAUUUUGCGCAAUGGGGGAAACCCUGACGCAGCAAUACCGCGUGUGGGAUGAAGGCCUUCGGGUCGUAAACCACUUUUCUCGGGGACGAUAAUGACGGUACCCGAGGAAUAAGCCACGGCUAACUACGUGCCAGCAGCCGCGGUAAUACGUAGGUGGCAAGCGUUGUCCGGAUUUACUGGGCGUAAAGCGCGCGCAGGCGGUGAAUGAAGUCGAAAGUGAAAGCCCCGGGCUCAACUCGGGAACAGCUUUCGAAACCAGUUCACUUGAAGGUGGAAGAGGGAAGUGGAAUUCCGAGUGUAGCGGUGGAAUGCGCAGAUAUUCGGAGGAACACCAGAGGCGAAGGCGACUUCCUGGUCCAAUCUUUGACGCUGAGGCGCGAAAGCUAGGGGAGCAAACAGGAUUAGAUAUCCUGGUAGUCCUAGCUGUAAACGAUGGAUACUAGUGUUGGAGGUUUUAACCCCUCCGGUGCCGCAGCUAACGCAUUAAGUAUCCCGCCUGGGGAGUACGGCGCAAGGCUAAAACUCAAGGAAUGACGGGCCCGCACAGCAGCGGAGCGUGGGGUUAAUCGAUGAUACGCGA
This 881-nucleotide ribosomal RNA is filed under the name uncultured bacterium. Its description in RNAcentral is "bacterial SSU rRNA". It matches the Rfam family "Bacterial small subunit ribosomal RNA", at positions 56 to 964 of the family's 1533-position model. The record is from RNAcentral.